This 550-nucleotide long non-coding RNA is filed under the name Phaseolus vulgaris (common bean). RNAcentral's name for it is "long non-coding RNA (PVUL_LNC003829)". Lineage: Eukaryota; Viridiplantae; Streptophyta; Magnoliopsida; Fabales; Fabaceae. The record is from RNAcentral.
GGACUUCCUAUAUCAUCCACAAAAGAAACUCUCCUUUAUGGUUGGAGCAGAACAACCAUAAAGUGAGAAAAACAUACCCAAAAAUAGAACCAACAAGUUACCUCAAAGCAACAUUCAACUUUACCGAAACGCCCAGAACCGAGGCCACCUACAUUCACCUCGCCACGCGACAAGUUACCCAUGCAGGGAAUAACUCGCCAUGUAGCUUACUCUGGUGAGCACUAAGUGCCACGAGGAGCACAAUCUCUGCAAAAUCGCCUGCCGCCAAUGCUACUCGCCAUGUAUGCUCUGACCUAAGGAAACCCCGCUCUCGACGAGGAUCCACUCGGGAAAUCUCCUCGUCCACGGGCGAGCUGUUCCCUUCAUCUCAUUGCUCAUGUUGAGGUUUAACAGACAUCUUUAUCGAACCAACACAUAUGGACUUACUCACCUAAAUCUCCAACAGCUUCAAAUAAGCUUUCUGGAGAACCCGGCGAUGUGUCUACCUCGGAGAUUUCCAGUUAUCUGAUCUUCUGUUCUUCGGAUACGGCAAUGAUGCACAACUUCAGCG